GCGUUCCUAGUUUAAUGGUAGAAUAUCUCGUUGCCAACGAGGUGGCCCGGGUCCGAUUCCCGGGGAGCGCA
RNAcentral lists this transfer RNA (71 nucleotides) under Candidatus Pacearchaeota archaeon. RNAcentral describes it as "tRNA-Gly". It matches the Rfam family "tRNA". From Rfam's summary of the family: Transfer RNA (tRNA) molecules are approximately 80 nucleotides in length. Their secondary structure includes four short double-helical elements and three loops (D, anti-codon, and T loops). Further hydrogen bonds mediate the characteristic L-shaped molecular structure. tRNAs have two regions of fundamental functional importance: the anti-codon, which is responsible for specific mRNA codon recognition, and the 3' end, to which the tRNAs corresponding amino acid is attached (by aminoacyl-tRNA synthetases). tRNAs cope with the degeneracy of the genetic code in two manners: having more than one tRNA (with a specific anti-codon) for a particular amino acid; and 'wobble' base-pairing, i.e. permitting non-standard base-pairing at the 3rd anti-codon position. Lineage: Archaea; Nanobdellati. The record is from RNAcentral.